CCCUGAGGAUCUCAGGAAGCCCUUGACUUCAAAAUAUAAAUGCGUUUCUUCUGCUUCCUAACCAUAUAGUAUUAGUCAAAUGAAUUUAUUAUAAUAAAAAGUCCCCCUUUUCCUCUCCAGAGAGUACAGAACUGCACCUUACAUAUCUGUUUGUUUCUUCUAAAAACCCCUAGGAUGGGUGCCCUGUUUCUGUUGGUUUCUAGGCACCUUUCCACCUCAAUCUGCCUUGCCAAAACCAUCAGAUAUCUCUGUCAUGUGAACUAGGCAGUGAGCCAGCAGGUCAGAGCUUACACAAUUUGUGGCGCCUACUUAAAGUGUCUGAGAUUCUUACCAAUCAGUCUGAACCUGGGGGCAAAGUGUAAUUCUUUCCUUCAUGCCCGUGUUUAUAAAAUCACACAAAGGUAAAGUAUGACACCGGUGGAUUGCGUUGGCUUUUUAUUUUCUUAUAUUGGGGAACUCGGAAAACUCCUGCAUUUCUUUGACUACAGCUUUAUCCCUGCUUUCUGGUAAAGAUGCAAAGCAGCUUGUGUGACAGCUGUCAAAAAGAGCAGGUUGAGUUAAAAGAAGUUAUCUCCAGAAGGAGUGUGCUUAAAGCAGAUUACAGUGUCUAAGGGCCUUACCCAGGUUUUAAUUACUUCUUUUUCAGGCAACAUUUCACUUAGCUGAAUUUGAGGAUUUUUUUUUGUCACCUGAGGCUUUUUAGACAUACUGCAAUACACACUGGCUACAUAGGAUUUCAUUGCAAAUGUACACCUUCUUCCUAAGCACAAAUGGUAUUGUAAUACUUUAAUCAGUGUGAAUGUGCAAAAACUGAGUCGGUCAAAAAUUACCUGGGGGGAAGGAAUUUAAAAAAAAAAAAAAAAGCAAUUAAUUCCCAUUGCAUUUUCUUUCUUCUUAACUGCAGGCUGAGGUCUCUUUGCACAUAGUUUAACUGAGCUCCUCCUCAGAACAUUGCUGCACCAUUGCUGGUAUGACCCAAACACACCCACACCCUCAGCCUGCUUCUUGACUGUCUUCCCAACCUGAAUUUUUACACUUUCUACUGUUCAGUGCCUAUCAUCCCAUUUACCAGUGGAUUGAAAGCACAAUAAAGAUGAAAGUAUAAUCCUGCAUGCCUAUCAUUUUCUGCCUCUUUGGUUUGAGAUCGCAAGGGGAGACUGAAAGUAAUAUACUACUGAUUAUUCUAUAAUUUCCUUAUGGCAGGAGCUAAAUGGAUCAUACUGGAUGUACAUUACAAUGCAAGAAUCCGGCGUUUGCUGGUUAACAAGUGCUCCAGGCCCCAGGCAUGUUUGAGCUGGCUUUUGGGGCAGGUGGUUUGCUGGGGCAGCAGGUUGCUGAGUGGCCCCAGCCCUGCUGCCUGCUUGCUUCUCUGUAGGUGCCAGGCUGCCACUCCAGUGGGGCUUGCAGCUUCACAAGCAACAGUGAGAAACACAACCAACUUGCCUUUUCUUUCAGGAGCUGAAACACAUGGCUUGACUUUGUAAGGGUUUUUAGUUAGCGCCCCAAUCCAUAACACCUGCUUCCUCCAGGACAGCAGCUGCAAAGCAUCAGUCUGCCCCUCUCUCCUCAUCCCAGGAGCUGCAAAAUUUAGUAUUGCUGCCAGGUUAGGGAGCCCCAAGAUAUCCCAGGGUUCCCAUCACUCAAGUCUCUGAAUGGUUUCCUUUCCUCUUGUCCUCACCUAAAACGCAUUGGGUAAAAGUGAUUUGCCAUCUAGCAAUCACUUAGUAAUUGGAACUUCAGAUGCUGUAUGUUACCAUGCUCCUUUUACAUAUGCUCAAUAUAUUUAAUCAUAAAAAGAGCUCACGUGUGGAAAACACAUGCCUACUGUGGGUAGGCCAGCAUUACAGCUCUGCGUCGAAUAAGCUACCAUGGAUAUACCCCACAGUUCCAGGAAACUCCUUCUUUAGGAUACACACAAAACAUGUAAACAAAGUUAUAAAAAUCAGCUGUGCUAUUUUGCUUCCCUUCAUGCUUCAGCUGUUGGUGUUUCUUUCACCCAGAAACAGAUAUUUCCCCAGGUUCCUAAUAGUGUCGCUUAUCCUUCAGGGAUACAUUUUUCCUCUGCAGUAGUGAUUUGUACACCAGAGCUGCGUUACUAUUAGGCCAUGAGAUGAAAGACACAGCAGACUUGUAAUUGACUUUUUUGUUCACAUAUCUGCAGGAAAAGAUCACACUUCUUCAGUUUUCUAGGAACACGCUUUUAUGACUGGAAAAAUACAGGGAGCAGGCUAAAGCUGGGCCUGCACAAGCCCAGCAGAGCCUAGCAGAGGCCUAGCAGAGUCAGUGUGUUGGAGUAGCUGCCAGGAUGGUGUCAAAAGGGAGUAGCGUGGCCAGCACACGCCAUGCAGAGGAGAAAGAGGUAUUUAGAGGGAUUCUGAGAAUAUAAAACAAGAAAUGAAGCAGGCUGACAUUCAGCUGGUAAUUGCACAGCAGCAUUAACACUUCUCGCCACCCCUUCUUCGGUCAGGGGCACUAGCCCCGCUGUGACUGCGAAUACCUGAAUCCAGCCUCCCUUCAGACUGCCAUUCCCCCACCUUCGGAUCAACUCGGAAAUGAUUUUCUUGUACAAAGGUGCUGUGCUGACACAGACACUGUGCCCUGAGGUAUUUAUGAGGAAUUUACAGUCUAAUUGAUAAGGACUAAAGGGUGACUGGUGGAAAUGCCAACUUGGUAGGCAUCUCUGACCCUUGGAUGGGACACAAAGUGUCAGUAACUGAGGGCUGGCUCCAGGCAGUUUCUGGGCCUCUCAAUCCCUCGAGGAUGGUCAGAUUAGGAACAUGAAGUUUUACCAGAUACAAGAGUGUUUGGAGCCAGCAACGCAGGAAAAGACUUAUGUCAUCUCCUCUCAUGUUUUUUUUACUCAUACCCAAAACUAUGAGGAAAUACUCUUCUUCAAAAGAAUAUCUUGCAUAUCAAUAACUAGCUUCAUCCAAGAUCUCAGAGGGCUCUAUAUACAGCCAUUAAGUGCAAUUCCUAUCUCACUGGUGCCCAUGGAGAAGCUGCUAACUGAACUCAGAAGAAUACACCCAGGAGAACUGACCUCCAGCACUCUUUCUUAACCUGCAAAUUACAUUUUCCUUAAAAACAAAUAAAUGACCCUAAAAAUCCCGAAGAAGCUUCAGUUACAGAAAGAACAACAAGAAGCACAGUCUUGGUUAGUGGCAUCACAAACCCCCAUACUCAGGCUGGAACUCUCAGAAACGUUCAAGAGCAUUUGUGGAAAUAUAACUGUAACCAUGUGGCUUUGGGAAGUCAUGGCAUGCCCAGCCCAUUACUUGCUUCAGUAGGUGGGUGCAACUAGUUCAUCAGUUAUAAAACUAGCAAGCUGUCUGGGAAGCAGGGAUGCGUGAAUUCCUGGGAGUACAACAUUUCUCCGAUGUCUGAUAUUUCCUCUUUGCAGAUAUGAUGAUAUCUGAGGCUGGAAGCCUGGAAAGUCUGGCAGAUCAUGCUGGCAAACUGGCAAAGUAUGACAGUAUUCUUUUGAUUCUGAAUGUAGAUACCUUGAUAGUGUGUAAGUGUUUUAAUCUUGGGGCAUAUAGUAACUCAAUGCAUGAGAAUGGGAAACCAGAAGAGAAGAAGCCAGACAUAUCUCUGUUUUGUUCCAGUUUUGCUGUCUUGGUGGCUGGAAGGGUUAGUAAAAUUCGUUCCUUACAAGGCUGGCACAAUUGCAAUGAACAGUCUAGGACAGGAGCAUGGAGAAUCCCAAGUGGGAAAACAAAAUCUGUCUACAGCAAAUGAUCUCAUCCCAGACCAAGACUCCCUGGGAUAAUGUGUGCCCACCUGUUAGUGUUUCAGUGACUGACAAAGCACAAUACUAAGUCUCUAGUGCGCAGUUUCCAAGAACUUGGGCUGCAGUUCAGUCAAAACUUAAAAAAAAAGAGUCUGCACAUGUGAAGACUAUUUAAGAUGAUGACCUGUCAUUGCUAAAAUUCCUGAAGAAUGCAGGUGCAAAUAUCAUCAAUGUCUCAUCACAGGAAAGAUGGAAAGAGAAGUUGAUGGCAGCCUUAAUUCUCUAUUUCCUGGAGGCUUAAAUUGGUUUAAGACCUUUCGCACUCCUGGGGUGAUUUCUGGGUUUCAGCCUUAAGGGAGGAGAGGAGAUUGCUAUUCCUCUUCCACAGCAGCAGGUGGGCUCUUUGCUGUGUGCUCCCCCUCCUCACUGCCAGCCGAUGCUGCCUGUGGGCCAGCAGAGAGGAGGGAGCAUCUUCCCCAAUCCAAGAGGAAUCUACUGGAGAUAUUCCCACACUGAGGUGUCCUCUGGCUGCUCACCUCGUACCCCCAACACCUGCCCACCUCUUCCUGGAGUUCCUUGGACCAGGGACCAUUCACCUGGCUGCAUUGUCAGAGAGGAGUUAACAGUUUCUGGCAAAUGCAAGGGCCAGGAAUAGAGCUGCAAUUACUGUGUUAUUUCAAGCUUUGUAAUCUGAUGGGAGCUAACGCCUGUUAUUUUACGUUCAGUUUCCUCCUAUGGAGUCAAGGACUAGGAGGUGCUUUCUUCUUUUCCCUGGUGAGAUCUUUGCAAAACUCUCUCUUUUCCUGUUCACACUGCAAGCACCACCAAGCCAUCAAACGCUAGGUGCUCCUGCCUCUGUGUAAUCCUAGGUUAAAUGCACAAUGUGAUCUAAGGGGAUGUAAACAGAUGUCCCUCUGGUGCAGCAAGAGUUUCUAUUCCCAAGGCAGCUACAAAGCUCAGCAUAUUACAGUUUCCAAAAUCAUCUAAAACUUGUCAGACAUUUUACUGAUGCCUCAGAAAUAGGGGUAUCUACCCAGCAGCCUGCUCACCUGUACCACUGAUAAUCAAUCCCACACUGCAUUGCUUAAGACGCUUGCAGAAUAAACACUACAAGAAAAUCCCCAGCCCAGCUGGGGGUCUCUGAUGAAUACAGCUGGUGCAGACAUCUCCUGGUAGAAGACUUCUUAAUAUUUUUUUAUUAUUUUUUUUUUUUUAUUUUAAAAGGAGUGCAGUACAAGCGAUGUUUCAAACAGGAAAUUUGGGAUGUCCCUCCACAGUUGCCUUGUGCACUCCUUGGCAGUACUGUGAAACACUACCAGCGACAAAUGAGAAACGCAGAAAAUGAGCAAUGGUGAGCUAAAGCUUGAGUGUCAACUUUGCUUUGUCAUUUCUUCCACUGCCUUUGUCAGUCAUUUUGCCAAGGUGUCAAAAGCUACAGCAUUAAUGUGUAUGUGGAGUUACACCCCAUCUUACGUGUGUAUGUCUGAUUUGAACACAUUCGCUGAGAAUCUGCUUCCCUGUGAAUCCCUUCACAUACAUCCUCCUGCUUAAGCUAUGGAUAGGAGCGGAAAUAGUAUCUGUGUGACAGCUUUGAACAGAUGGAAAAUACUGCUGUCAAUGUCUCAAUUAUUAAGCUUCUGUGUAUUCCCACAAAUUGCUGCCGUGCUCAAAAGAGCAAAAUAUAUGUACUAAGCCUUUUGCCUAGACCUUCAGGAGUUGCUGGGUUUUGAGUUCUUAGUUCUGCAGAGCAUUACUUAGAGAGGCCAAUCCUGUAAUUAUUGAUAUUAUCUCUUUGACAUCUUUACUUCUUCCUAAAUCUCUGACAUAAAUACAUCCCCAAACAAAUGUCUCUUGCUUUUCCACUACCAUUUUUAAGUACUGCCAGAAGGCAUGCUGCAGGCCAUCACCAAAAUAAAACAUUAAUUGCAAGUAGAAGUUUUCAGUGGAAAAGCCUUGAUGGAAGAAAAGGUACUUCGGUUGCCAGUGGGAGUCCAUGGAACUGCAAGUCUCUGGGCCUUGUAACUGUGAAGCCCCAGGUGGUUUUGAGGGGAGAGACUUCACAGUUGUGUGCAUAAACACACAGAGCAGAGAACAUAAUCCCAUAAUCUGAUUAUGUCUGCUGCUUAGCUGCCAAGGAAUUGCCCACAUUACAGCAGUUGCCAGGUCAAUGAAACUCUAGUCUUUGGUGUAUAUGUAAGAGAAACCCAAAGGAUGUCAGUGAAACUCCUUUUGAGUUUGAUGUUAGGCAUGUGUUUAACUGGGCCUUACACUGGAAAAACAUCUGUAAAGAUUCAAAAAGUCAAAGUUGUAUUGCUCUGAAGAGCUUAAGAGUAUUGGGAAUAAAUUUCGGGAACAUAUGGUCACUGCACAUUGGUUUCUUCUUUUCUUGCUAAUGUCUCUGGUUGCCCAUUCAUCUUAUAAUUAACAAACCCACUGGGAUAAAUCAUUGUUUCCAGCAGCUUAGCAUA
This is a long non-coding RNA of Pezoporus occidentalis (night parrot), 6198 nucleotides long. RefSeq lists it as uncharacterized. The transcript is spliced from 3 exons. The record is from RefSeq and is a predicted model, not a curated record. Lineage: Eukaryota; Metazoa; Chordata; Aves; Psittaciformes; Psittacidae.